UCGUGCCUGCGCCGCCAUUGUAAUUUUACUGCGAAAGAUUGGUUUUGACUUUUCAAUAAUUGAAAUCAUUGAAAUUGUGAUUGAAAUUCGCAUGAGCGCCGCUGGAAUUACUAAUAAUAAGGAUAAAUCUUUCUUGUUAAUUAAUUAUCUUGACUAUUUAAAUAAAUUUUUCGUGCUUGAUUAUUCGUGCGUGAUUCGUGCUUGGUUAUUGAUAAAAGUAAUUUUGUUUUACAUUAAAAAUGAGGCAAUGUGUUAUUCCCAAGUGUAAAACGCGAUCAAAUUACGUGCUGUACCUUUUACUGAUAGUGACAACACUAGAUGGGAGGCAUGGUUCAUCAAUUGUCCAAUAUUACGGAAAUAUACUCGUAGGCAGUUAGAAAACGUUAAAAUUUGUGAAAACCACUUUCUACCCAGAAAAAAGACCUACUUAUUGGUAAUCAACGUGCACAGUGGUCCAUCAUUGAGGAGCUCUAUGCUACAGAUGGUGAAGCCGGACGUGCAAGAACCACAACCCUGACGGAUAAACACAUUAGACCAACUUCUUAUGACAAGAUGAA
Molecule: long non-coding RNA, 557 nt
Organism: Bicyclus anynana (squinting bush brown)
Lineage: Eukaryota; Metazoa; Arthropoda; Insecta; Lepidoptera; Nymphalidae
Exons: 2
Source: RefSeq, a predicted model, not a curated record